RNAcentral lists this ribosomal RNA (808 nucleotides) under Kocuria sp. RNAcentral describes it as "bacterial SSU rRNA". It matches the Rfam family "Bacterial small subunit ribosomal RNA", at positions 67 to 883 of the family's 1533-position model. Lineage: Bacteria; Bacillati; Actinomycetota; Actinomycetes; Micrococcales; Micrococcaceae. The record is from RNAcentral.
CGAUGAUCUCCCGCUUGCGGGGGUGAUUAGUGGCGAACGGGUGAGUAAUACGUGAGUAACCUGCCCUUGACUCUGGGAUAAGCCUGGGAAACCGGGUCUAAUACUGGAUACGACUUCCCAUCGCAUGGUGGGGGGUGGAAAGGGUUUGACUGGUUUUGGAUGGGCUCACGGCCUAUCAGCUUGUUGGUGGGGUAAUGGCUCACCAAGGCGACGACGGGUAGCCGGCCUGAGAGGGUGACCGGCCACACUGGGACUGAGACACGGCCCAGACUCCUACGGGAGGCAGCAGUGGGGAAUAUUGCACAAUGGGCGCAAGCCUGAUGCAGCGACGCCGCGUGAGGGAUGACGGCCUUCGGGUUGUAAACCUCUUUCAGCAGGGAAGAAGCCACAAGUGACGGUACCUGCAGAAGAAGCGCCGGCUAACUACGUGCCAGCAGCCGCGGUAAUACGUAGGGCGCAAGCGUUGUCCGGAAUUAUUGGGCGUAAAGAGCUCGUAGGCGGUUUGUCGCGUCUGCUGUGAAAGCCCGGGGCUCAACCCCGGGUCUGCAGUGGGUACGGGCAGACUAGAGUGCAGUAGGGGAGACUGGAAUUCCUGGUGUAGCGGUGAAAUGCGCAGAUAUCAGGAGGAACACCGAUGGCGAAGGCAGGUCUCUGGGCUGUUACUGACGCUGAGGAGCGAAAGCAUGGGGAGCGAACAGGAUUAGAUACCCUGGUAGUCCAUGCCGUAAACGUUGGGCACUAGGUGUGGGGGACAUUCCACGUUCUCCGCGCCGUAGCUAACGCAUUAAGUGCCCCGCCUGGGGAGUAC